GGUUUUUUGUUUUAAACUAGUAUGACCAGAUGCCUUAUGGGUUUGUACACAUUAAAAUCAGUCAUGUUGUUCUCAUCUUUCAUUCAACACUUCCUCACUAUUCUGUUCAUCAGCUCAAUUUAGUUUUCCAGCUCUAAACUGAGUUGAUCUAAGUGUUCAUCUGUGUGACCUAUCUGAUCUAUAUCUGUCUUGUACGUGGCGUGAAUAAGAGUCAUCAGGAACAUGCCAGAGACCCUGAAUAAUUUGUCCAAGCUGAGAGAUUCCAAGUUUGGGCGGCCAGAUCCCAGACACGGCCUCAGAUUAUUGUGGUGGUUUGCUCAUGAAUAUGUUCGCAUUGACUCCAAUGGUCUAUAUGUGCUGCAUGACCCAGCGGAUGGACAUUUUGGCUUCCAUCGUUUUAAAAAUGUAGAGAGAAUUCUUCCUAUUAACCAGGAAUACUUUGAGACAGGCAACCUCAGCAGGUCUUCAGACCUACCUCAUUAUGUCACUGAAAAGUACACAGGAAAUUCAGAUGCCAGCAACACAGAUCGCAUCAUUGUUUCUGUAUUGUCAAGAUUGAAUGGUAAAAUCUUGUUAAAUGAUGUUUAUGUGACUCAGCAUUUAAACCACAGACUGGAGUUUGACCCAAAUCGCACCUACCGCAUCAGUCUAGAUCUCAUUAGAGAGAUUAAAAACUUGGACAGAUCAGAAUUCCUCGGACAACCGAAGAGGGACCAGAAUUCUUUCUCAGUACGGAUUGAACCCCCUCAGGUUGUAACCAAUCAGCAGCAGUCGUCACCAUCUAGAGGAAAUUGUUGUGGUUGUAAAAUGAUCUGUGCUGUGGCAGGUGGUAUACUUCUUCUAGUUUUUAUUGUUUUGAUGCUUGUUUUAUUUCUGGUGCAAAUGAGCCUACAUAAAUAGCAAAUCUUUUAUUUAUUUUCUUUUAGUGUAUUUUUAUUGAAGGUUUAUGGAUAAAUUACUUCUUUAAAAGACACUUUGGAUUAAGGCAUCUUCUGAUCAGUGGUUCUGCUAUGAAAGGGGUCAUGGAAAGCAGAGAGAUAACAGGGCUUAAUGCAAAUGUUUUGUGCCCUGAUUGGCGCACCAAACAUGGUUUGUUUCAUUUGCAAAACAAUCUAUAUUUUUCAUACUGUUUUGCUUUAUAUAUAUAUAUAUAUAUAUAUAUAUA
This is a non-coding RNA of Misgurnus anguillicaudatus (oriental weatherfish), 1165 nucleotides long. The record is from RefSeq and is a predicted model, not a curated record. Lineage: Eukaryota; Metazoa; Chordata; Actinopteri; Cypriniformes; Cobitidae.